RNAcentral lists this long non-coding RNA (349 nucleotides) under Gallus gallus (chicken). Lineage: Eukaryota; Metazoa; Chordata; Aves; Galliformes; Phasianidae. The record is from RNAcentral.
CCUGGAUCUGUAUGUCAGAGAGGAAAGCAUCAUCCUCUUCCUCAUCACUGUGAAUGCUUUCAUCAGAAUCAUAUAUAACACCACUGUCUGACAGAGGAAGAAAUGGCUUUGCCAUAAAAUAGUCCCACAUGCUGAGUUCUGGAGGGAUAAACUUUUCUUUGUAAGAGGGCCUCUCUGCAGGUACAGGUGGUGGCACAGUGCUGUCCUUCACAGGCCUUCCAGGCACCAGCAUUCUCAUAUUAAAACGGCGACGAUGUUUAUCCAUUUCUUCUGAAGGAAGAGGUGGUGCUGGAAUAUUUUCUGAUUGCCUUCGAGGCUUUACAAGAAGUUUCACUCCCCCGCCAAAAAC